ACAAAAAAAAAAAAAAAAAAAAAUUCUUGUAUUUAUCAACAAAUAUAUUGUGUAAAGGACAUGUAGGAUAUGGAAAUUGAGACUCUUGUUGUCCAUGGUGCUGAUCUCCAGCUUGUCGCUGCGAUUGUAUAAUCAAAUUUCCCAGUAAAUUUCAUCUUGCUAUUGUAGCUGACUUUGUGUUAUUAAUUUUGACUCCAAUGAUUUUGUUCGUUAAUGUGGUAUACAUACUUUUGUGCAUUGCAAGAGAGGAUACUUUUGCUAUUUUUUUCCAUCUUGGUUUUCAAUGCAAUAACUAGUUAAUGAUAGAAUGUUUUGAUGUUUGUUAAUAUCUGAAGAAUGUGAUGGUUGAAAGAUGCUGUAAGACUAAUCAAAAACUAAGUUUGAAUUACUAAUGCGAUCAAAAUUACCGAUUGAUUUGUUUUUUGUUGAGCUUCCAUGUGGUCAAAUCUCUCUCUCUCUCUCUCUCUC
RNAcentral lists this unclassified non-coding RNA (468 nucleotides) under Hevea brasiliensis (rubber tree). The record is from RNAcentral. Lineage: Eukaryota; Viridiplantae; Streptophyta; Magnoliopsida; Malpighiales; Euphorbiaceae.